CUACGGGGUGCAGCAGUGAGGAAUAUUGCACAAUGGAGGAAACUCUGAUGCAGCAACGCCGCGUGGAGGAUGACGCAUUUCGGUGUGUAAACUCCUUUUAUAUGUCAAGAAAAUGACGGUAGCAUAUGAAUAAGCACCGGCUAACUCCGUGCCAGCAGCCGCGGUGAAUACGGAGGGUGCAAGCGUUACUCGGAAUCACUGGGCGUAAAGGACGCGUAGGCGGGAUAUCAAGUCAGGUGUGAAAUCCUACAGCUUAACUGUAGAACUGCACUUGAAACUGGUAACCUAGAGUAUGGGAGGGGGAGAUGGAAUUAGUGGUGUAGGGGUAAAAUCCGUAGAUAUCACUAGGAAUACCUAAAGCGAAGGCGAUCUCCUGGAACAUAACUGACGCUAAGGCGUGAAAGCGUGGGGAGCAAACAGGAUUAGAUACCCGGGUAGUC
This 440-nucleotide ribosomal RNA is filed under the name uncultured bacterium. RNAcentral describes it as "partial 16S ribosomal RNA". It matches the Rfam family "Bacterial small subunit ribosomal RNA", at positions 339 to 795 of the family's 1533-position model. The record is from RNAcentral.